GAUGAACGCUGGCGGCGUGCCUAAUACAUGCAAGUCGAGCGAACAGACGAGGAGCUUGCUCCUCUGACGUUAGCGGCGGACGGGUGAGUAACACGUGGAUAACCUACCUAUAAGACUGGGAUAACUUCGGGAAACCGGAGCUAAUACCGGAUAAUAUAUUGAACCGCAUGGUUCAAUAGUGAAAGACGGUUUUGCUGUCACUUAUAGAUGGAUCCGCGCCGCAUUAGCUAGUUGGUAAGGUAACGGCUUACCAAGGCCACGAUGCGUAGCCGACCUGAGAGGGGGAACCGGCACACUGGAACUGAGACACCGUCCUGGCUCCUACCGGAGGCCGCCAGUGGGAAUCCUGCCGCAAGGGGGGAAGCCUGAACGAGGAAAGGCGGCUUGAUGAAGAAAGGCCUUGGGUGGGAAAACUCCUUUAAUAGGGAAAAACAAAUUUGUUAAUAACCAAGCACGGUGUGACGGUACCGUAUUAAGAAGCCCCGGCUAACUACGUG
RNAcentral lists this ribosomal RNA (497 nucleotides) under uncultured bacterium. RNAcentral describes it as "partial 16S ribosomal RNA". It matches the Rfam family "Bacterial small subunit ribosomal RNA", at positions 28 to 507 of the family's 1533-position model. The record is from RNAcentral.